RNAcentral lists this unclassified non-coding RNA (749 nucleotides) under Hevea brasiliensis (rubber tree). Lineage: Eukaryota; Viridiplantae; Streptophyta; Magnoliopsida; Malpighiales; Euphorbiaceae. The record is from RNAcentral.
GAGGAAAAAUGAAAUCUGCAGCAAGGAAAGGUCUGCAGCAGAUGAAUUAUGUUCUUGGGUUGCUAUCUGGUUUAUGCAGAGCAAAAAAAAUGACAUUUUGUAGCAAGGAAGGGUCUGCAGCAGAUGACUUAUGCUCUUGGUGAGGUUGGGUGUAUAACUUUUAAGUAUAUGUGUUUUUAAUGUUAAUAUGGUGGUAAGUUGGUCAUAUUUGUAAUUUUGAGAUUAUUUGGGUUGUGGAAUUCAAGGUGGACAAUAUUGCAUUCUCUUGGCAUAACUUGGAGAGUUCAUUUCAUCAUUUGUAGAUAAAUGCAACUUUAUGCAGAUUUUAUUGAGUUUUAAUGUGCUAAAUGUUGAUUUGCAGAAUUUGAGUCAAAAUGGCAUGGAUCACAAAUGCUUUUUAUGUAGGAUCCAUCUUCUACAAGCUUGUGUGAUGCAUUUUUGAUGAACUUUGUAUAUAUUGAUGUGUUUUUGGUGAAAAUUUCUCAUGGUUUAUGCUUCAUAGAAUUAUAUUUCUUCAUUUUAGGGUAUUUUUCACACUUGCAAAUCAUGUUCCAUUGCAAUCUUAAUUUUGUUGAAUUGUGCAUAAGCAACUGCAUAGCUUAUGCAAUCCUGCAUAACCACAAUUCUUGCCAUUUUCAUCCCUGUUGCAAACUGCAUAAGAAGAGUGCAUAGCUUAUGCAACUCUGCAUAGCCUAAUUUUGUCAAAUUUCAUAUCUUUCGAAACCUGCAUAAGCAGAGUGCAUGACUUA